CUCCCAAACCCCUGUGAACAUACCAACUGUUGCCUCGGCGGAUCAGCCCGCUCCCGGUAAAACGGGACGGCCCGCCAGAGGACCCCUAAACUCUGUUUCUAUAUGUAACUUCUGAGUAAAACCAUAAAUAAAUCAAAACUUUCAACAACGGAUCUCUUGGUUCUGGCAUCGAUGAAGAACGCAGCAAAAUGCGAUAAGUAAUGUGAAUUGCAGAAUUCAGUGAAUCAUCGAAUCUUUGAACGCACAUUGCGCCCGCCAGUAUUCUGGCGGGCAUGCCUGUUCGAGCGUCAUUUCAACCCUCAAGCCCAGCUUGGUGUUGGGACUCGCGAGUCAAAUCGCGUUCCCCAAAUUGAUUGGCGGUCACGUCGAGCUUCCAUAGCGUAGUAGUAAAACCCUCGUUACUGGUAAUCGUCGCGGCCACGCCGUUAAACCCCAACUUCUGAAUGUUGACCUCGGAUCA
This 460-nucleotide ribosomal RNA is filed under the name fungal sp. E13600C. RNAcentral describes it as "eukaryotic LSU rRNA". The stretch from base 137 to 290 matches the Rfam family "5.8S ribosomal RNA". Lineage: Eukaryota; Fungi. The record is from RNAcentral.